GAAAUGCGAUACGCAGUGCGAAUUGCAAAACGUGAGUCAUCAGAUUUUUGAACGCAAAUGGCGACAGCGCAAGCUGUCAUGUUUGUUUCAGUGAACCAGGUUAAUUACAUCACAUAAAAAGAUGCGAUUGAAGUAAUUCUUUCGCUUAGUAUGUAGUAGUUUGGUUUAGACCACUAUUAACCGAAGUAGUCACUAAAAAGUGAUAAUCGUGUUUAUAGAGGCUAAGCCUUAAAAGAACUACUAAAAAACAACUUUUUAUCCACUAACCUGAAACAAGCAAGAUAACCCGCUGAACUUAA
Molecule: unclassified non-coding RNA, 299 nt
Filed under: uncultured fungus
Lineage: Eukaryota; Fungi
Description: sequence contains ITS1
Rfam family: 5.8S ribosomal RNA (bases 1-96)
Source: RNAcentral